AAAACCAAGACGAACGCUGGCGGCGUGCUUAACACAUGCAAGUCGAACGGUAAGGCCCUUCGGGGUACACGAGUGGCGAACGGGUGAGUAACGCGUGAGUAACCUACCCUUGACUCUGGGAUAACAGAUGGAAACGUCUGCUAAUACCGGAUACUCAGCCUUGUGGGCAUCCACAUGGCUGGAAAGCUCCGGCGGUCAAGGAUGGACUCGCGUCCUAUCAGCUUGUUGGUGAGGUAACGGCCCACCAAGGCGACGACGGGUAGCCGGCCUGAGAGGGCGACCGGCCACAUUGGGACUGAGAUACGGCCCAG
Molecule: ribosomal RNA, 311 nt
Filed under: uncultured bacterium
Lineage: Bacteria
Description: bacterial SSU rRNA
Rfam family: Bacterial small subunit ribosomal RNA
Source: RNAcentral